CUCUCACACAAAAUGUUGAAAGCUGUUAACCGAAACACAUACGAAAGAAAAUGCUCUCCACUGUCAUACCUUUGAAUCCUGGCUGAGGAAGAGCAAGACCUGGAGUCAUCUCAACUAAUGAUACUCUGUGACUGACUCAUCAAAAAGAGAAACCAAAACUGCUCAUAGAAACAUCCCAG
Molecule: non-coding RNA, 179 nt
Organism: Struthio camelus australis
Lineage: Eukaryota; Metazoa; Chordata; Aves; Struthioniformes; Struthionidae
Source: RefSeq, a predicted model, not a curated record